Molecule: ribosomal RNA, 497 nt
Filed under: uncultured bacterium
Lineage: Bacteria
Description: partial 16S ribosomal RNA
Rfam family: Bacterial small subunit ribosomal RNA
Source: RNAcentral
GAUGAACGCUGGCGGCGUGCCUAAUACAUGCAAGUCGAGCGAACAGAUGAGGAGCUUGCUCCUCUGACGUUAGCGGCGGACGGGUGAGUAACACGUGGAUAACCUACCUAUAAGACUGGGAUAACUUCGGGAAACCGGAGCUAAUACCGGAUAAUAUAUUGAACCGCAUGGUUCAAUAGUGAAAGACGGUUUUGCUGUCACUUAUAGAUGGAUCCGCGCCGCAUUAGCUAGUUGGUAAGGUAACGGCUUACCAAGGCAACGAUGCGUAGCCGACCUGAGAGGGUGAUCGGCCACACUGGAACUGAGACACGGUCCAGACUCCUACGGGAGGCAGCAGUAGGGAAUCUUCAGCAAUGGGCGAAAGCCUGACGGAGCAACGCCGCGUGAGUGAUGAAGGUCUUCGGAUCGUAAAACUCUGUUAUUAGGGAAGAACAAAUGUGUAAGUAACUAUGCACGUCUUGACGGUACCUAAUCAGAAAGCCACGGCUAACUACGUG